Molecule: long non-coding RNA, 1621 nt
Filed under: Gadus morhua (Atlantic cod)
Lineage: Eukaryota; Metazoa; Chordata; Actinopteri; Gadiformes; Gadidae
Description: lncRNA (ENSGMOG00000024291.1)
Source: RNAcentral
GAGCGGCUUGUACUCCCCGAGGCUUCAACAGAGGGUCUGGAGCUGGGAGCUGCAGGUGGCCAGGAGGCGUUCAGUCCUACAGGAACAGACGGAGGUGACGGAGGCGGUCGUCCUGGUGGUGCUCGUCUGGAGGUCCGUGGCGGUCCUCUGGAGGUGCUCGUCUGGAGGUCCGUGGCGGUCGUCUGGAGGUGCUCGCCGUGAGGUCCGUGGCGGUCGUCUGGAGGCGCUCGCCGUGAGGUCCGUGGCGGUCGUCUGGAGGUGCUCGCCGUGAGGUCCGUGGCGGUCGUCUGGAGGCGCUCGCUGCAGAUGGAGGGAAGGCCGGGAGCUGUGCAGCCCAACGGAUGCAGAACGGUGAGACGCGGAACUGCACAGCUGCACAUUUCUUUCUAGGCUUGGUGAAUUGUUUAGAAUUAAACCUUUGACAUGCAGCCACAGCAGCUUUGAAGUGUUCUGAAAAAUGUCCGCUGCAUUCUCAGCCACUAGGACCAGCUCCAGGAUGUAGGCUAGGUGUGUGUGGCUGGCUGUUGGGUUAAAUAAUGCCUCACUCAAGGCUGCACAGUAGGGCAUCAGGGAGAUCUGUGGGAGCUAAAGCAGAGGAGUUGAUGAUCUGCAUCAUGUACGGGGAGAAAUGUGCAGUGUGCAACUGGAACGUGUCAUUCGCCUUUCAGAAGGACUGAGGCGGAGGCCAGCCUGGAGGCGGAGGCCAGCCUGGAGGCGGCGGUGGCCUGGAGGUCCUGGAGGCGUCCAACCUGGAAGGGGCGGCAUGGAGGGCCAGAAGGGCCUGGAGGCGGCCAACCUGGAAGGCCUGGAGACGGCAGAGGUCCUGGAGGCAACGGCGGGCCUGGAGGCGGAGGCCAACCUGGAGGUCCUGGAGGCGGUGGCAGCGGCCAUCCUGGAGGAGGACAACCUGGAGGUCCUGGAGAGCCUCGAGGCGCCGGCGGCAGCCAUCCUGGAGGCGACGGCGGAGACCAACCUGGAGGGCCUGGAAAGGUGGUACGGACCAACCUGGAGGUCCUGGCGGUGGCGUCCACCUGGCGGCGGCGGCGGCGUCCUGGAGGGCCCGGCGGUGGCGGCGUCCUGGAGGGCCCCGGCGGCGGCGGUGGCGGCGUCCUGGAGGGCCCCGGCGGCGGCGGUGGCGGCGUCCUGGAGGGCCCCGGCGGCGGCGGCGUCCUGGAGGGCCCCGGUGGCGUCCUGGAGGGCCCCGGCGGCGUCCUGGAGGGCCCGGCGGCGGCGGCGUCCUGGAGGGCCCGGCGGCGGCGGCUCCUCAUCCAAAAUGAGGCGACGUUUCGGAGGUCCAGGCGGUCGGCCCGGUGGAGGUCCUGGAGGAGACGGUCCCGGCGGUGGAGGUCCAGGUGGGUGGCCCGGUGGAGGUCCUGGAGGAGACGGUCUCGGCGGUGGAGGACGGCUGGGGGAUCCGGCGGUGGAGGUCCGAAGGCGGCUCGUGAUUAGACCAACCAGCUCCUCAUCCAUGGAAGGAUUGAAGGAGUCACUGGGGAUGAAGAUCACUGGGGAUGAAGAUCACUGCUCAGGGGCUGACGACCACCCCCCCCCCCCCCCCCCCCCCUCAUCUUUCCGGAGAAGCGUCCUCAAGGUGCAGGCGGUCAAACCACCACAUCUUUGA